Molecule: ribosomal RNA, 315 nt
Filed under: Triticum aestivum (bread wheat)
Lineage: Eukaryota; Viridiplantae; Streptophyta; Magnoliopsida; Poales; Poaceae
Description: partial small subunit ribosomal RNA
Source: RNAcentral
AUGGAGCAAUUGGAGAAAAGGAUGGAUGCAGCAGAACAACAAAUCAAAGAGCUGCGUGAAGAUCUUAAUCGGAGAUUUGAUCAGCUGGUUGAGAUGAUAAAAAAGGGUGUUCCCCAUGCUACCAAUAAAGGAGAUUCAUCUAAAGGAGAAGAAGAUGUUCAUCAAAGGAGAGGUAAUCUUGGAGCAAGACCGCCACAACAACAUGCUGUUCAACGUGCUUCAAGAAGGCCAAUUUAUGUUGAAACUUCUGAAGGUGAAGAAUAUGAUGAAGCCCUUGAAGAAGCUGAUCUCUAUGCAAACCGGAGAGCCUCUUGA